GGGGCUGUAGCUCAGUGGUAGAGCACUUGCCUAGCAUGUGUGAAGCAGUGGGUUUGAUCCUCAGCACCA
Molecule: non-coding RNA, 69 nt
Organism: Ictidomys tridecemlineatus (thirteen-lined ground squirrel)
Lineage: Eukaryota; Metazoa; Chordata; Mammalia; Rodentia; Sciuridae
Source: Rfam